CCCAGUGUGGUGUAGUGGUUUGAGUGUUUGACUAGGACUCUGAAGAGCAGGGUUUGAAUCCCCACUUGGC
Molecule: transfer RNA, 70 nt
Filed under: Phrynosoma platyrhinos (Desert horned lizard)
Lineage: Eukaryota; Metazoa; Chordata; Lepidosauria; Squamata; Phrynosomatidae
Description: tRNA-OTHER
Source: RNAcentral